AUCAGUGGUUGGUUCCACUGAGAUACAGACACUCAUCUCCAGACUCUACAUAGCACAGUUUGCUUUCCCCUUUUGAAAGUCAUGGCCUCCCUCUCUCUGGGACUGCUGUUUCUCUGUAUGCUGGCUGGCGUCCAUGGUGCAAACGUCAGAGUGUCCGGCCUUCAUGCCAGCGGCCUUAAAGGGGACCCUGCUGGUAAUUACCCUGACCCCUAUGUCAAGGUUUGGUGUGGUGGCGAAUCCGGUGGCAUGACAGACUGGCACAAGGAUACUCGUAAUCCAUCCUGGAGUGCCGUAUUCAACUUUCUGAAUGUGCCAUCCAGUGCUUCCUUGAAGUUUGAGAUCUGGGACAAGGACCUAAACUUCGAUGACCACCUGGGAACCUGCACCACUGAGCUCAAGUCUGGCAGUCACAGCGUAACCUGCGGUCUGAGUAGUGGAACCUUCUACUACACUUACAGUUACCAGUAAGCCAGCCAUAAUGUAAAACAUCAGUUACCAGUAAGCCAGCCAUAAUGUAAAACAUCAGUUACCAGUAAGCCAGCCAUAAUGUAAAACAUUCGGCCAUCACAUACCUUAAUGAAAUUCUAAUGAAUUUUACUGAUGAACAUUAAGGCCUAAAUAAAAACUUGCAUUUCUGCACAAUGGU
Molecule: long non-coding RNA, 646 nt
Organism: Coregonus clupeaformis (lake whitefish)
Lineage: Eukaryota; Metazoa; Chordata; Actinopteri; Salmoniformes; Salmonidae
Exons: 2
Source: RefSeq, a predicted model, not a curated record